Molecule: ribosomal RNA, 406 nt
Filed under: uncultured bacterium
Lineage: Bacteria
Description: bacterial SSU rRNA
Rfam family: Bacterial small subunit ribosomal RNA
Source: RNAcentral
UGGGGAAUAUUGGACAAUGGGCGAAAGCCUGAUCCAGCAACGCCGCGUGAGGGAUGACGGCCUUCGGGUUGUAAACCUCUUUCACCUGUGACGAAGCGAAAGUGACGGUAGCGGGAGAAGAAGCACCGGCCAACUACGUGCCAGCAGCCGCGGUAAUACGUAGGGUGCGAGCGUUGUCCGGAAUUAUUGGGCGUAAAGGGCUCGUAGGCGGUUUGUCACGUCGGGAGUGAAAACUCGGGGCUUAACCCCGAGCCUGCUUCCGAUACGGGCUGACUAGAGGUAUGCAGGGGAGAACGGAAUUCCUGGUGUAGCGGUGAAAUGCGCAGAUAUCAGGAGGAACACCGGUGGCGAAGGCGGUUCUCUGGGCAUUACCUGACGCUGAGGAGCGAAAGUGUGGGGAGCGAAC